CAGUAGCCGCGGUAAUACGUAGGGGGCAAGCGUUGUCCGGAAUUAUUGGGCGUAAAGCGCGCGCAGGCGGUUUUUUAAGUCUGGUGUCUAAGUGCGGGGCUCAACCCCGUGACGCACUGGAAACUGGGAGACUUGAGUGCAGAAGAGGAGAGCUGAAUUCCACGUGUAGCGGUGAAAUGCGUAGAGAUGUGGAGGAACACCAGUGGCGAAGGCGACCACCUGGACUGAUACUGACACUGAGGUGCGAAAGCGUGGGGAGCAAACAGGAUUAGAUACCCGAGUAGUCCCUGUCUCUUAUACA
This 301-nucleotide ribosomal RNA is filed under the name uncultured bacterium. RNAcentral's name for it is "partial 16S ribosomal RNA". It matches the Rfam family "Bacterial small subunit ribosomal RNA", at positions 509 to 808 of the family's 1533-position model. The record is from RNAcentral.